Molecule: ribosomal RNA, 305 nt
Filed under: uncultured bacterium
Lineage: Bacteria
Description: bacterial SSU rRNA
Rfam family: Bacterial small subunit ribosomal RNA
Source: RNAcentral
AGUGUCCUACGGGGCGCAGCAGUGGGGAAUAUUGCGCAAUGGGCGAAAGCCUGACGCAGUGACGCCGCGUGAGGGAUGAAGGUCUUCGGAUCGUAAACCUCUGUCAGCAGGGAAGAACGGUCACUGUGCUAGUCAGCAGUGAAUUGACGGUACCAGCAAAGGAAGCACCGGCUAACUCCGUGCCAGCAGCCGCGGUAAUACGGAGGGUGCGAGCGUUAAUCGGAAUUACUGGGCGUAAAGCGCUCGUAGGCGGUAUGUCAAGUCAAGGGUGAAAUCCCCGCGCUCAACGAGGGAACGGCCUUUGA